Molecule: ribosomal RNA, 303 nt
Filed under: uncultured bacterium
Lineage: Bacteria
Description: partial 16S ribosomal RNA
Rfam family: Bacterial small subunit ribosomal RNA
Source: RNAcentral
AGCAGUCGCCACGGGAAUACAGAGGGUGCGAGCGUUAAUCGGAUUUACUGGGCGUAAAGCGUGCGUAGGCGGCUUCUUAAGUCGGAUGUGAAAUCCCUGAGCUUAACUUAGGAAUUGCAUUCGAUACUGGGAAGCUAGAGUAUGGGAGAGGAUGGUAGAAUUCCAGGUGUAGCGGUGAAAUGCGUAGAGAUCUGGAGGAAUACCGAUGGCGAAGGCAGCCAUCUGGCCUAAUACUGACGCUGAGGUACGAAAGCAUGGGGAGCAAACAGGAUUAGAGACCCCUGUAGUCCCUGUCUCUUAUAA